GUAGUCGUGGCCGAGUGGUUAAGGCGACAGACUUGAAAUCUGUUGGGAUAUUCCCGCGCAGGUUCAAAUCCUGCCGACUACG
This 82-nucleotide transfer RNA is filed under the name Dendronephthya gigantea. RNAcentral describes it as "tRNA-Ser". It matches the Rfam family "tRNA". From Rfam's summary of the family: Transfer RNA (tRNA) molecules are approximately 80 nucleotides in length. Their secondary structure includes four short double-helical elements and three loops (D, anti-codon, and T loops). Further hydrogen bonds mediate the characteristic L-shaped molecular structure. tRNAs have two regions of fundamental functional importance: the anti-codon, which is responsible for specific mRNA codon recognition, and the 3' end, to which the tRNAs corresponding amino acid is attached (by aminoacyl-tRNA synthetases). tRNAs cope with the degeneracy of the genetic code in two manners: having more than one tRNA (with a specific anti-codon) for a particular amino acid; and 'wobble' base-pairing, i.e. permitting non-standard base-pairing at the 3rd anti-codon position. Lineage: Eukaryota; Metazoa; Cnidaria; Anthozoa; Malacalcyonacea; Nephtheidae. RNAcentral also lists the same sequence under 1 other name. The record is from RNAcentral.